UACGUAGGGUGCAAGCGUUGUCCGGAAUUAUUGGGCGUAAAGAGCUCGUAGGCGGUCUGUCGCGUCUGCUGUGAAAACUCAGGGCUUAACCCUGAGCUUGCAGUGGGUACGGGCAGACUAGAGUGCGGUAGGGGAGACUGGAAUUCCUGGUGUAGCGGUGAAAUGCGCAGAUAUCAGGAGGAACACCGGUGGCGAAGGCGGUUCUCUGGGCAUUACCUGACGCUGAGGAGCGAAAGCAUGGGGAGCGAACAGG
Molecule: ribosomal RNA, 253 nt
Filed under: uncultured bacterium
Lineage: Bacteria
Description: partial 16S ribosomal RNA
Rfam family: Bacterial small subunit ribosomal RNA
Source: RNAcentral